This 253-nucleotide ribosomal RNA is filed under the name uncultured bacterium. RNAcentral describes it as "partial 16S ribosomal RNA". It matches the Rfam family "Bacterial small subunit ribosomal RNA", at positions 524 to 776 of the family's 1533-position model. The record is from RNAcentral.
UACGGAGGGUGCAAGCGUUAUCCGGAUUCACUGGGUUUAGAGGGUGCGUAGGUGGGCAAGUAAGUCAGUGGUGAAAUCUCCGGGCUUAACCCGGAAACUGCCAUUGAUACUAUUUGUCUUGAAUACUGUGGAGGUCAGCGGAAUAUGUCAUGUAGCGGUGAAAUGCUUAGAUAUGACAUAGAACACCAAUUGCGAAGGCAGCUGGCUACACAAAUAUUGACACUGAGGCACGAAAGCGUGGGGAGCGAACAGG